Molecule: non-coding RNA, 407 nt
Organism: Oryctolagus cuniculus (rabbit)
Lineage: Eukaryota; Metazoa; Chordata; Mammalia; Lagomorpha; Leporidae
Source: RefSeq, a predicted model, not a curated record
CGAGUCGAAUGGGGCCCGAAGCAAGGCGUCUCACAGUGGAAUAAGACUCGGCCAUGGAACGAGUGAAACCAGGACGUUUGCAGCAAACCGAGGCACUGCGGACACUGUGGGAGUGAGACAAGCCAGGCACAGAGGAGAACCCACGCGGGAAGUCACUCAGCGUCCUCUUGGAUAAGUUCCAGUGAGCCCAGAGGGAAAUGGCUCCCUGCCACAGCGCUGACGCCAGGGGUGCUGGGCAACCUUGGUUCUUGUCCUAGAACCCCCGUAUCUCUGUGGUCGCCACCAUGGCAGCCCUCAGGUGUGGCAGCCCCCAGUGGUGCCCUGGAGCUCGUGGUCACAGGCAGUAUCCCUGGGGACAGGAGGUCAGCUGAGCCAGGUGGGCGUGGGCACAGCACAGCAGCCACGAG